This 768-nucleotide ribosomal RNA is filed under the name Bacillus cereus. RNAcentral's name for it is "bacterial SSU rRNA". It matches the Rfam family "Bacterial small subunit ribosomal RNA", at positions 28 to 776 of the family's 1533-position model. Lineage: Bacteria; Bacillati; Bacillota; Bacilli; Caryophanales; Bacillaceae. The record is from RNAcentral.
GAUGAACGCUGGCGGCGUGCCUAAUACAUGCAAGUCGAGCGAAUGGAUUAAGAGCUUGCUCUUAUGAAGUUAGCGGCGGACGGGUGAGUAACACGUGGGUAACCUGCCCAUAAGACUGGGAUAACUCCGGGAAACCGGGGCUAAUACCGGAUAAUAUUUUGAACUGCAUGAUUCGAAAUUGAAAGGCGGCUUCGGCUGUCACUUAUGGAUGGACCCGCGUCGCAUUAGCUAGUUGGUGAGGUAACGGCUCACCAAGGCAACGAUGCGUAGCCGACCUGAGAGGGUGAUCGGCCACACUGGGACUGAGACACGGCCCAGACUCCUACGGGAGGCAGCAGUAGGGAAUCUUCCGCAAUGGACGAAAGUCUGACGGAGCAACGCCGCGUGAGUGAUGAAGGCUUUCGGGUCGUAAAACUCUGUUGUUAGGGAAGAACAAGUGCUAGUUGAAUAAGCUGGCACCUUGACGGUACCUAACCAGAAAGCCACGGCUAACUACGUGCCAGCAGCCGCGGUAAUACGUAGGUGGCAAGCGUUAUCCGGAAUUAUUGGGCGCAAAGCGCGCGCAGGUGGUUUCUUAAGUCUGAUGUGAAAGCCCACGGCUCAACCGUGGAGGGUCAUUGGAAACUGGGAGACUUGAGUGCAGAAGAGGAAAGUGGAAUUCCAUGUGUAGCGGUGAAAUGCGUAGAGAUAUGGAGGAACACCAGUGGCGAAGGCGACUUUCUGGUCUGUAACUGACACUGAGGCGCGAAAGCGUGGGGAGCAAACAGG